CUUGAGCGAGUGGUCGGCAAAUGAAAAGACAGAAUUCAAAUGAAUUUAAAAACGUGUAUAUUCACAAUAUUAUUAACAAUUUCACAAGUGAAUAGCUUGGUAAAUAAAUCGACUGCACUUCAUAAUUAAAUAUUAACUUGUGUAUCAUAGUGUUCCAAAGAAUCAAAGCUAUUGGAUGAACAAUGCAGUACCUAUUGCUAUCAGGUUGUGAAGCCGCUUCUACAAUACGUCAACACGGUCUCAACAAUGACAUAAGAACACAUCGAGUUGCAACAUACAAUUAAGACACAAGCAGAAUUGAUCCAAUCUAAGGACAUGCAAUGGGCCCAGCAAUUGAAAUCGUGUGAAAUACAAUCUGAACUUAAAUCAAAGUUAAGCGAAUCAUUCGAAAUCCAUAAUCGCAAUCAACAAAAACUUAUUGAUCAAUUUGAGAUUCAAAUAACUAAUCUGAAAUCGGAAAUCAAGUCGAAAGAUGAAGAAAUUAAGGAAUUGCAAUCACAAAAUGCAAAGACUAAAGCACUUCAGAAUGAGAUCACUGCCUAUAAACAGACAACCAGUUGUCUCGGUAAAUUGACGGAGAUUCAUACGAUUCGAGUUCCCAUAACACACACAAUGACAGUUUCAUUUGAAUCGAGCUUGCCUGGAGCUGGAACUGGAUGGACUGUUAUACAGCGACGUAAAGAUGGUAGUGUGGAUUUUAAUAAAACCUGGUCAGAGUACAAAGAGGGUUUUGGAGAUCCUCGUGGAGAAUUCUUUAUUGGACUCGAGAAGCUUCACUUGCUAACACAAUCCCAACACCAUGAAUUAUAUAUAUCCCUUGGCGACUUUUCUAAUGAAACACGAUAUGCCAAAUACAAUAACUUCGUUAUUGGUGACGAGACAGAGUUAUAUGAAAUAAAAGAAGUUGGAACGUAUUCCGGCGAUACUAACGACUCAUUGUCAUUGCACAAACAUUUUAAAUUUUCAACACCAGAUAAGGAUUCUUCCUUUAAAAAAUGUGCAUCCAAAUUCAGUUCAGGCUGGUGGUUUACCAACGGUUACUAUAAUUGCAAUCUUAAUGGCCGUUAUAUACAACAAGAUAUUGGAGAGGAUGUACAUGGAAUUGAAUGGAGAUCUUGGAAACCGAAUAGACCAUUAAAAAUCACUCAAAUGAUGAUAAGACCAAAAUCUUAAGAGAAUUGACUUCUGUGAGGUUUUUUCUCUUCAAUGUUCGUGUCUGGCAUUGAUUUGGCAAAGCAUGAAGCGCUUAACAACAGUAAAUAAAUAGUUCGAUAUUGUCUUAAAAAUAAAACUAUCUAACUAUGUUAUAUUUGAUAUUAAUCAAUAUUCAUACACAUGUACAUUUUCAAACCUUUAUAUUUUGCAAAUUAUUGAAUUCAUUGAAACAAAUCUCAGUUUUAUUGUUUUGUCAUGUUAAAUAACUACAUACAUACAUAUAUAGUUUCUUAUCUAAU
This is a long non-coding RNA of Drosophila nasuta, 1454 nucleotides long. RefSeq lists it as uncharacterized. Lineage: Eukaryota; Metazoa; Arthropoda; Insecta; Diptera; Drosophilidae. The record is from RefSeq and is a predicted model, not a curated record. The transcript is spliced from 3 exons.